RNAcentral lists this long non-coding RNA (501 nucleotides) under Fukomys damarensis (Damara mole-rat). RNAcentral describes it as "lncRNA (ENSFDAG00000032604.1)". Lineage: Eukaryota; Metazoa; Chordata; Mammalia; Rodentia; Bathyergidae. The record is from RNAcentral.
UGGUGAGCUGACUUCCAGAGCGGUGAGAUCCCAAGUCUACCAGGUCUUGUUGGCAAGCUGGCCUCUGGGCACCAGGUACCAUCCUCACUCUUUGUCUGCCUUUUGAGUCAAGCUUCUUCAGAGAGAGAGACACACACAUCCCUGGGCUUAUGCUGUGGCCUGGUGGCUACCCAGGACCUGCCCCCCUCCAUGUGCUCAAUUUCAACAGUCACUGGUGACUUCACUGCCACCUAUGACCCCGUCCCCUCUCCCCAGCCUGCCCUACUGCUCCUCCUUAUCACAAAGUUCCUACCCCAAGGACCACCACAGCCCGUCCUCUAGGAAGCCUGCUUGCUGCUCUGCCGUAUCUCCAGAGGAUAUUCCGGGGGCCCGGAGUUGCACAACAGAUGAUCAUCUUCCCAGCACUUCAUACCCACAUAUAUAUUCAGAAGGUGUUCAGGCUGCUUAGAUUACCCUCCUUUUGGACAGACCAAGACUACAUGGACAGCGAGGACAUUCCCA